UACGUAUGGAGCAAGCGUUGUCCGGAUUUACUGGGCGUAAAGGGCACGCAGGCGGUGAGAUAAGUCAGGUGUGAAAGUUUUCGGCUCAACCGGAAAAGUGCACUUGAAACUGUCCCACUUGAGUAUCGGAGAGGUAAGCGGAAUUCCUAGUGUAGCGGUGAAAUGCGUAGAGAUUAGGAAGAACACCGGUGGCGAAGGCGGCUUACUGGACGAUUACUGACGCUCAUGUGCGAAAGCGUGGGGAG
This 245-nucleotide ribosomal RNA is filed under the name uncultured Anaerofustis sp. RNAcentral's name for it is "partial 16S ribosomal RNA". It matches the Rfam family "Bacterial small subunit ribosomal RNA", at positions 524 to 768 of the family's 1533-position model. The record is from RNAcentral. Lineage: Bacteria; Bacillati; Bacillota; Clostridia; Eubacteriales; Eubacteriaceae.